AGCAGCCGCGGUAAUUCCAGCUCCAAUAGCGUAUAUUAAAGUUGUUGCAGUUAAAAGCUCGUAGUUGAAUUUUGGGUUUGGCCGAUUGGUCCGUUCUUGUAACGAGUACUGGUCGGUUGGGCCUCACCGCUUGGUGAUGCGUAAUGCCCUUUAUUGGGUGUUGCGAGUAGCCAGGACAUUUACCUUGAAAAAUUAGAGUGUUAAAGCAGGCUUAUGCCGGAAUACAUUAGCAUGGAAUAAUAGAAUAGGACGAUGAUUCUAUUUUGUUGGUUUCUAGGAGCAUCGUAAUGAUUAAUAGGGAUAGUUGGGGGCAUUAGUAUUCAAUUGUCAGAGGUGAAAUUCUUGGAUUUAUUGAAGACUAACUACUGCGAAAGCAUUUGCCAAGGAUGUUUUCAUUAAUCAAGAACGAAGUUAGGGGAUCGAAGACGAUCAGAUACCGUCGUAGUCUUAACCAUAAAACUAUGCCGACUAGGGAUCGGGCGAUGUUGUUUCAAUGACUCGCUCGGCACCUUAUGGGAAA
This 520-nucleotide ribosomal RNA is filed under the name uncultured Archaeospora. Its description in RNAcentral is "SSU rRNA". It matches the Rfam family "Eukaryotic small subunit ribosomal RNA", at positions 569 to 1097 of the family's 1831-position model. Lineage: Eukaryota; Fungi; Glomeromycota; Glomeromycetes; Archaeosporales; Archaeosporaceae. The record is from RNAcentral.